RNAcentral lists this long non-coding RNA (1403 nucleotides) under Homo sapiens (human). RNAcentral describes it as "HSALNT0326191". Lineage: Eukaryota; Metazoa; Chordata; Mammalia; Primates; Hominidae. The record is from RNAcentral.
UCAACCACACUAUCAAUACAGAUGUGCAGUUGAGUAUAGAAGUAAUGCUUCCUCGGUAAAAUUCAUUGAGGACAAUCCCUUCACAAUCUAGAACUGGAAGAUUGGAUUUUCUGAAAACAUCGGAGAAAGACUGUCCUUGCCAUCCACACUACAGCAAAUCUUUGGAGACUUGAACUUUGGGUUCAUAAUCUCACAACUGAGAAGGGUCCCACCACACUCCUGGAACUGUGCACCCAUUGGAAACCUUAAGAAAUUCAACAUAUGAAACAGAAGUAAAGCAGAGCUUCUCUGGCUGAAGGAGGAGGAUUAAAGGUAUCAAGAGGAAGGGUUGAGGGCCACCUGCCAGCCCCUACUCAUUGGUCCUUAGUGGCUCAGCACUGCCUACUGCCUAGGGGAACAAAGGGCAUGGUGCUGGGUACUUAUAGGCACCAGAACAUUCCUGAGGACUCACACCACAGGGAAAGGGCUCUGUACUCAUUGCUCUUCAUCCCACUGCUGUGUGCUAUUGUCUUUGUGAUCUUCAUGAUUGGAUUUUGCUUCUUCAAGGAAGAUAUAAAAGAGCCCAAGUAAUUCUGGAAACCAGCAUUUUACCCUUGACCUCCUGCUUUUCAUCCUACUGGUCCUCGCCAGAAGUCGCUGGUUGCCUGGUAUAAGAAAACAAUCAUAAUUAUCUCAUUAAUACUUGGACCUGGCCUCCCUGCUAAUCAGGUUUGUACUGCUGAGAUUUCAAAGGAGAACAGAAAUCUACUAAGAAGAAAUAAAUUGGUUCUCAGGCUAUAAAUAGUUCUAGGAAGCUGCCCAGGGACAAAAAUUUGCCUGCUGGUGAAAUAAAAGACCAUGUAAACUGUAGAUUUAUUUGGAGAGUAUAGUUCCAUGAAUUUAACUGGUCUAGACUCUGGGCCUCUGGAAGGCAGAGACCAUGCUCUCAGCCUUGCCUUUAGUACCUUGUCUGUAACAGGCUAUCAGAUAUGUUGAUUGUGUCAAAGAUAAGCAAAUUCUGAAAUGAGUAAUUUUUUUCAUUCUCUAUCCUCUCUGAAUUCACUUAGUGCCUCUCAGAAUGUGUCUGAGUGGAAAGGGAUUUGCACAGGAUAUGUCCAAACAGGUUAUUGUAACUUUGGAGGUAAACUCUUGUCUAUCAUUCCAUGCACUUCAUUAUUAUUUAUAUCCAUUUCUUUCUUUCUUUCUUUGUUUAUUUAUUUAAGUAAUUGGUCAUGAAAUAGACUUGCAUGCUGAAUACUGAAAUGUGGUGUUUGACACUUGUAAAUUAUUCCAGAUUAUAUAUGAGACUAUAAUAGAUAAAAGUGAUUUAGAUAAUAAAGUGAUCUGUAAUUGAAGUAAAUGAGAGCUGGGUGCUGUGGCUAAUGCCUUGUACUCCCAGCACUUUGGAAGGCUGAGGCAGUAGG